RNAcentral lists this unclassified non-coding RNA (1234 nucleotides) under Hevea brasiliensis (rubber tree). The record is from RNAcentral. Lineage: Eukaryota; Viridiplantae; Streptophyta; Magnoliopsida; Malpighiales; Euphorbiaceae.
UAAGAAAGGGCUGGUAAAAUUCAAUGAGCCAAGAAGCAGAACCCAAUAAAAUGAAGCUCGAUGAAAGUUGCAAAACUUCCAACAAAUUAGGUAAAUUGAUUCAUUCUAUUUCUAACAAUUGGAAUAUGAAGAUAAAUACAUCUGCUCUUGCCAUUUACAUGAAGACCACAACAAUACGAGGAGCUGAUCAAGAAAAAAGGAGGAAACGGGUAAAAUUUCUCUUUUUCACCAAUUCCUCCAACCCAUUUAACUUAAGCAAGUUAAUGAAUGAAUAAAUACAGCCUGCCAGCCACUCACAAUGAAGGCAUUCAUCCAUGUGGAACCGUGACUGCAGUAUCAUAGCAUCAACUUAUCAAUAGCUUAGCCUUGCGUAUGUGGCCCAUGCUAUUAACUAGAUCUUUUCGAAUGCAAACAGGGAACAUGUUGAUGUUCUUUAACAAUUUCAACCGCCAUAGUACACAUGGGAAACUCAACUGAUCCCUGGAAGUGAAGGGAACAACUUCGUUAAACCAGAGGCACAUGAAUAAAUUAGUCACCGGUGUAUGCUCCCUCAUGAUGACAGAAGCUUCAUUUAAAGCUGCAGAGAUUAAUUACUUCUUAUCAAUAUUAGAUCAUAAAGAUAAGCAUAAUAUGCAUUUGUUUCAAUAUUAAAAGAAAGAACAAUUCACCCUUCUUUCCAUUAAAUCUCGUCUUCAGGCAAGCCACCCUGCCGGUAUUGAGUCAACUGCACCUCAACUUCUUCUGGUGAGGCUUUGUGUUUCUUCACAACAGCUAUAGCCUCCUCAUACACAUUGCUUCGAGCUCCAUGUUGUGAAAUCGCUAAUACAGAAUUUGAACGCCAAAGAAGGGCUUCUAGAACACCAAGAGGGUCCCUCCUAAAUUGGGAUUUUGAGUCUACCCAAAUAGAGAACAUGGCAUGAGGAAAGAGACGAUGCCCCAACAUCUGAUUGCAGCAGGAGUGAAUAUAAAUCCUCAAAAAAAUUCAAAUAGCAGAAUACCCCAAAAAUUGAAAUUUACAGGCAUGCACUGACACAGCGACAAAGAAAAGCAGAUUACAUGAUACCAUCUUAUAGAAUGAAUAACCAAAGAACCAUGUAUGACAGUGACGAACAUAAGAAUCAGUAUCACCUUUCUGUUAUGUAACCAGAUUCUCCAUCACAGAAAGAAUAGAAAUUAGAGAGGAAAUAAAGAGAGAAAGGGGAGAAGGAAUAGAAGAAGAGAGGUGAGAGGAGAA